UACUUGUUCACUGUCCUCUCUACUUGA
RNAcentral lists this non-coding RNA (27 nucleotides) under Mus musculus (house mouse). Lineage: Eukaryota; Metazoa; Chordata; Mammalia; Rodentia; Muridae. The record is from RNAcentral.